UGCCAGCAGCCGCGGUAAUACGGGGGGUGCAAGCGUUACUCGGAAUCACUGGGCGUAAAGGGUGCGUAGGCGUCCUGAUAAGUAUUCUGUGAAAGCCCAUGGCUCAACCAUGGAAUUGCAGAGUAAACUGUCAGGAUAGAGUAUGGAAGGGGCAGGUGGAAUUUCCGGUGUAGGGGUAAAAUCCGUAGAGAUCGGAAGGAAUACCGACGGCGAAGGCAACCUGCUGGGACAUUACUGACGCUGAGGCACGAAAGCGUGGGGAGCAAACAGGAUUAGAUA
Molecule: ribosomal RNA, 279 nt
Filed under: uncultured bacterium
Lineage: Bacteria
Description: partial 16S ribosomal RNA
Rfam family: Bacterial small subunit ribosomal RNA
Source: RNAcentral